CAAGUACUCCCUCCGUCCGAAAAUACUUGUCGGAGAAAUGCAUAAAAAUGAAUGUAUCUAGAACUAAAAUACGUCUAGAUACAUCCAUUUCUCUGACAAGUAUUUUCCGACGGAGGGAGUAGUAG
Triticum aestivum (bread wheat) is the source of this 125-nucleotide non-coding RNA. The record is from Rfam. Lineage: Eukaryota; Viridiplantae; Streptophyta; Magnoliopsida; Poales; Poaceae.